ACACGACUACAUUAGAUACCCGGGUAGUCCUAGCCGUAAACGAUACUCGCUAGGUGUCGGCCACGGUGCGACCGUUGUCGGUGCCGUAGGGAAGCCGUGAAGCGAGCCACCUGGGAAGUGCGGCCGCAAGGCUGAAACUUAAAGGAAUUGGCGGGGGAGCACCACAACGGGUGGAGCUUGCGGUUUAAUUGGAUUCAACGCCGGAAAUCUUACCGGGACCGACAGCAACAUGAAGGCCAGGCUGAAGACUUUGCCGGAUUAGCUG
Molecule: ribosomal RNA, 265 nt
Filed under: uncultured archaeon
Lineage: Archaea
Description: partial 16S ribosomal RNA
Rfam family: Archaeal small subunit ribosomal RNA
Source: RNAcentral